GCAGUCGAGCGGUAAGGCCUUUCGGGGUAACGAGCGGCGAACGGGUGAGUAACACGUGGGUGAUCUGCCCUGCACUCUGGGAUAAGCUUGGGAAACUGGGUCUAAUACCGGAUAUGACCACAUGAUGCAUGUGGUGUGGUGGAAAGAUUUAUCGGUGCAGGAUGGGCCCGCGGCCUAUCAGCUUGUUGGUGGGGUAAUGGCCUACCAAGGCGACGACGGGUAGCCGACCUGAGAGGGUGACCGGCCACACUGGGACUGAGACACGGCCCAGACUCCUACGGGAGGCAGCAGUGGGGAAUAUUGCACAAUGGGCGGAAGCCUGAUGCAGCGACGCCGCGUGAGGGAUGAAGGCCUUCGGGUUGUAAACCUCUUUCAGCAGGGACGAAGCGUGAGUGACGGUACCUGCAGAAGAAGCACCGGCUAACUACGUGCCAGCAGCCGCGGUAAUACGUAGGGUGCGAGCGUUGUCCGGAAUUACUGGGCGUAAAGAGUUCGUAGGCGGUUUGUCGCGUCGUUUGUGAAAACCCGGGGCUCAACUUCGGGCUUGCAGGCGAUACGGGCAGACUUGAGUGUUUCAGGGGAGACUGGAAUUCCUGGUGUAGCGGUGAAAUGCGCAGAUAUCAGGAGGAACACCGGUGGCGAAAGCGGGUCUCUGGGAAACAACUGACGC
Molecule: ribosomal RNA, 670 nt
Filed under: bacterium 75-L049658-122-015-C10
Lineage: Bacteria
Description: bacterial SSU rRNA
Rfam family: Bacterial small subunit ribosomal RNA
Source: RNAcentral